GACGAACGCUGGCGGCGUGCCUAAUACAUGCAAGUUGAGCGCUGAAGGUUGGUACUUGUACCAACUGGAUGAGCAGCGAACGGGUGAGUAACGCGUGGGGAAUCUGCCUUUGAGCGGGGGACAACAUUUGGAAACGAAUGCUAAUACCGCAUAAAAACUUUAAACACAAGUUUUAAGUUUGAAAGAUGCAAUUGCAUCACUCAAAGAUGAUCCCGCGUUGUAUUAGCUAGUUGGUGAGGUAAAGGCUCACCAAGGCGAUGAUACAUAGCCGACCUGAGAGGGUGAUCGGCCACAUUGGGACUGAGACACGGCCCAAACUCCUACGGGAGGCAGCAGUAGGGAAUCUUCGGCAAUGGACGAAAGUCUGACCGAGCAACGCCGCGUGAGUGAAGAAGGUUUUCGGAUCGUAAAACUCUGUUGGUAGAGAAGAACGUUGGUGAGAGUGGAAAGCUCAUCAAGUGACGGUAACUACCCAGAAAGGGACGGCUAACUACGG
Molecule: ribosomal RNA, 496 nt
Filed under: uncultured bacterium
Lineage: Bacteria
Description: partial 16S ribosomal RNA
Rfam family: Bacterial small subunit ribosomal RNA
Source: RNAcentral